CUUCCCAUUAUCUUAUUGCUUUACCUUUAUUUUGAAAACUAUGGAAAUAGUAUUUCAGUUGUAUGUUUAAACAAGUAUAGAAGCCUUCCUUGUGUAAUAUAUAAAGGAAUAUUAAUUUUUAUAUAAAACAGUUAAGCUGUAACAUUUCUGUUAUGUUUAUUUAAAUACAUCUAUCCAAAAACAAAAUUUUUGUUGGGAAUAUAUCUGCUAUUAAUUGAAGUGUAAAUAAAUAUAUCUUUUUGAAUAGCAGUUUGGCAGUCAAUCAAAAUUUGAGUGUGUAAAACUUUUGAAUUGUUGGAAUUUGCUGAUUACAUUUUAUCUAUUCCUACUCAAGUAAUAUAAAGAAGAAAGUAUGUUAUAGGUUGAGUGUAAGACUAAUGAUAGCUUAUUCAUAUGGAUAUCAUUGAAAAACACUGAAAUAUUCUGAUAUUGAAGGAUGUUUUAAGUUGAUUUUUAAAAUUGUCAGUAUUGAAGAAAGGUCAACUAAAUAUGUAUAAGAGGUCUGUCCAUGUGCCUCUGGUUUCCUCAUUUAAAUAUUCAUUGUUAUUACUGGAAAAUGGGGCUGUCUAGAUACAAUAAUAUGAAGAAAUGCUUACUUAUUUGUGUUACUAUAAUGGCAUUCUUCUUGAAAUUUUUGUACAUGUUUAAGUUAAACACUAAAACAAUGUUUAUAACUUUGUAUAUUGCUAUGUGACAAUCUAAAAUGCAUAUAGGGGUUAUUGUAGAGAAACUUGCCAGAAAAAACAUGGCAAAAUUUUAACAUUACUAUAUAAGGAGAUGAGAAAUUAAGGGACUGCGGCUACUUUCCCACAUUUGUAAUUUUAAAGGUGUUUCAAAAGCAACGUUUAAACAACGAAGGGAAUUCUAGAGAUGUAAUUGAUUUGUGCCUGUCCUGAUUGUUGUCUAUUGACAUCUUGGGAAUGUUGGGCUGUUGUAUCCAACUUUGUAUCUUCAGUGGCUGUAAUGAAUAGUUUUGAGUGAUCAUGAAGAACCUGUGACAUAGACUAGUGCAGCAGAGAGUUACCCAGCGAAAUAAAGACUGUUGGGUUACCGAAGGAAAGAAGAAGAAAGAAGACAGGAUUUGAGGUGAACAUGGUAAAAAAUGAUACACUUGCAUAUAACCUGAGGAUAGCUGGCAUCAGGAACAUCCUUAUGCAACUAUGCCUAUGGAGUUCUUAUUCUUAUGCAAACAUGCCAAUGGAGUUCUUUCAUUUAUAAAUUUCAAAUUUAAACCACAGGAGAUGACAGUUACAGGAAAACAUACUUUUGCCACUUUUGUUUUUAAAUCUCAGUAAUUGGUACCACCAGACCUGUUGCAGUAUUCUCAUUCCAAGUGUUCUUCGCUCCCAUCUUUGGACUCUGGAGAAGCCCUUGGCCAUCAUAAUCUGUGUCCUUUAGGUGAUGAUUGAUUAGGAUACUGAUCGCUUCUGCCACCAUCUUCACUAAAAACCAAAAGACAGUCUUCAUAAUGUAUGUAGACUCGGCAUUGAUGUGUUACAAUAGACACUCCCUGUAGAUCAGAAAAACUGGACUUAGAAGGCUCAAGUUCGAAAGUGACUUGAAGGAUGUUAUUGGAGAGAAUUGUAACCAGGCAUGUUGAGAGAUUUCAAUUGUUGCCAUUGGACUAAAUCUCAGGAGCUUUACUGAUGGAGGCAUCAUUACAUGGAGAAGCUCAGCAUGGAGUGAUUGCAAGGCUUCGUUUCAGUGCUCUCAUAAAUAUUAGGUUCUUGUAUUUAAAAUUUUAACUUAUCACAGGGAAAUUUAAAAUUGAUUCAUAAAAAAUCAUCUUUUUCAAGAUCUCAAAGGACAUGGAAAUUUUUGAAGUAUGUUUUUACUUUGCCUUUUCCUAAUUCUAUACAUCCUUUCUAGUGUAUUGAUAAAUUAAUAUGCAAGUCAUUUCGGGGUCUCUAUAUUGGCUAUAGAUUUUUCUUUGCCGUAAGUAUGACUUACUGAUAAAUUGUAAUUUGCCUGACUAAUUUGUUGAAAUAGUUCCAGUGAAGUAGAACUGCUACUUCUGAAGAUAUCCAAAAUUUAUAUUUUGAGUCCAAUCUACAGAUUUCUCCCAACUGUAUAGAUGGGUCCUCAUCAGUCUUGUUCCCCAGGGUCUAUAUCCCAAAAUUAUACAAGUAUUAGCUGUUUAAUCUUUGGUAAUGUGAGAUUACACAGAAAUUGCUUUUCUCUGUUGUUUAGCUUGGUCAUCUUCAUGUUAUGCUUAACUUUACUGGUCACUUGUGUUAUUUCAUUUUCCUUUUUUUUUUUUCAUUUCCCUUGGAAUAUUAAUGUCUGUGUUACUGAUUUCUAAGAAAUCAUUUAUAAUUAAGGAUGUUAACCAUUUGUCAUGCAUCGGAAUGAAAUACCGUGUAUUUAUGCCACUAGUUUACUAUGGUGUUCUGUAUUUUGGUUGUGUAUUAAAAUAUAAUUGUGUUAUGUUUUA
Long non-coding RNA from Phacochoerus africanus (Common warthog), 2434 nucleotides. RefSeq lists it as uncharacterized. The record is from RefSeq and is a predicted model, not a curated record. The transcript has 4 exons. Lineage: Eukaryota; Metazoa; Chordata; Mammalia; Artiodactyla; Suidae.